AAUCAGAUAGAAUAAAAUAAAAAAAAACCAACCAAAAUUUAGUAAAAAAAAGAAUUUGAAGCUACACCUAACCAAAUGUCCAAAUAGCCUCAGCUAGUCCUAUUUAUACUUUGUUCAAUUAUCCCUAGAAUUUUCUAGAAUGUCUCUAACAAUGGGCUCUACUAAGAUAAUUAUCCUUUUAGAAGAUUCUAGAAAUAGGUCCUACUAUAAUAACCUCCUUAAGCCUUUUUAAAAGGUUCUAUGGUAGGUUUGAUAUGAACUACCAUCCUAAUCUCAAUUCUAGAAACUUCUCAAAAACAACUUCCACAACAUAUCUCUAUAUGCAAAUAAUAUAAAUAUUCUAUCUAUGCCCUAUUACAACU
RNAcentral lists this long non-coding RNA (362 nucleotides) under Physcomitrium patens. RNAcentral's name for it is "long non-coding RNA (PPAT_LNC002540)". Lineage: Eukaryota; Viridiplantae; Streptophyta; Bryopsida; Funariales; Funariaceae. The record is from RNAcentral.